GGCGGGAGUGCUGGAAGUACAAAAGAGACCGGGAGGACGGCCAUUGGGCCCCCCUCCGAGAGGUCCUCCUCCUCUUCAGCCAGUUGAUCGUGAAAAGACUUGUCCCUUAUUGCUUCGCGUUUUCACGAAGAUAGGGAAUCAUCAUUCCAAGGAAGACUUUGCAGUGAGAGGCAAGGAGCCCAAGGAUGAGGUUCAAAUCUAUACAUGGAAGGAUGCUACGCCACACUUCGGGAGUUAACUGAUCUGGUCAAAGAGGUGGCUCCAGCAGCAAGGAGAAGAGAUGCAAGAUUGUCCUUUGCUUUUGUAUAUCCUGACAAAAAUGGCCGCUUUGUGGUGCGAGAGGUUGGAAAGACCUACUCUAACAGAAAUGGGAAAUUAGAUGAUGGCAAAGCAUUGGCUGAGCUUGGCUGGGCUUCCAGAUUGGAGAUUACUUGGAUGUUGCAAUUCUAUAGUGAAGUUAUUUAUUUUUUGCAGUUUUUAAUGUGUUUUAGGGCGGUGCACCAUUAGGAUGAUUUGGGAUAUCAGUUUAUGCCUGAGAAGGAAGGGACUAUUGCUAAGAUGGUACCAGUGUUCUAUUUGCCAAAGUAGUUAGAAAAUUAAAAAGGAAUGAGUGUCGGCGAAUCAUUAUAAGUAAACAGGUAGUGGUAUUUUCCAUUACAUCAGAACACUCAUCCAUGUAUUUUGACAUGAAGCUUGAGCUUUGUUUGGAGUUUGUAAAGCUAUUGAUGCUAGUUGUGACCUUAUAACCUAAGGAUCCAAACUCAUCCUAUAGGUUC
RNAcentral lists this unclassified non-coding RNA (776 nucleotides) under Hevea brasiliensis (rubber tree). The record is from RNAcentral. Lineage: Eukaryota; Viridiplantae; Streptophyta; Magnoliopsida; Malpighiales; Euphorbiaceae.